UACGUAGGGACCUAGCGUUGUCCGGAAUCAUUGGGCGUAAAGCGCGCGUAGGCGGCCCGGUAAGUCCGUUGUAAAAGUCGAAGGCUCAACCUUCGAAAGCCGAUGGAUACUGCCGGGCUAGAGUCCGGAAGAGGCGAGUAGAAUUCCUGGUGUAGCGGUGGAAUGCGCAGAUAUCGAGAGGAACACCGGUGGCGAAGGCGGCGAUCUGGACGAUGACUGACGCUGAGACGCGAAAGCGUGGGGAGCAAACAGG
RNAcentral lists this ribosomal RNA (253 nucleotides) under uncultured bacterium. Its description in RNAcentral is "partial 16S ribosomal RNA". It matches the Rfam family "Bacterial small subunit ribosomal RNA", at positions 524 to 776 of the family's 1533-position model. The record is from RNAcentral.